This 305-nucleotide ribosomal RNA is filed under the name uncultured bacterium. RNAcentral's name for it is "bacterial SSU rRNA". It matches the Rfam family "Bacterial small subunit ribosomal RNA", at positions 335 to 637 of the family's 1533-position model. The record is from RNAcentral.
GUCCUACGGGACGCAGCAGUGAGGAAUAUUGGUCAAUGGGCGGAAGCCUGAACCAGCCAAGUCGCGUGAGGGAAUAAGGCCCUACGGGUCGUAAACCUCUUUUGCCGGGGAGCAAGGGCGGGGACGUGUCCCGGCCCGGAGAGUACCCGGAGAAAAAGCAUCGGCUAACUCCGUGCCAGCAGCCGCGGUAAUACGGAGGAUGCGAGCGUUAUCCGGAUUUAUUGGGUUUAAAGGGUGCGUAGGCGGCGCUGCAAGUCCGGAGUGAAAGCCCAUGGCUUAACCAUGGUACUGCUCUGGAAACUGUG